RNAcentral lists this transfer RNA (77 nucleotides) under Sulfuricurvum kujiense. RNAcentral's name for it is "tRNA-Met". It matches the Rfam family "tRNA". From Rfam's summary of the family: Transfer RNA (tRNA) molecules are approximately 80 nucleotides in length. Their secondary structure includes four short double-helical elements and three loops (D, anti-codon, and T loops). Further hydrogen bonds mediate the characteristic L-shaped molecular structure. tRNAs have two regions of fundamental functional importance: the anti-codon, which is responsible for specific mRNA codon recognition, and the 3' end, to which the tRNAs corresponding amino acid is attached (by aminoacyl-tRNA synthetases). tRNAs cope with the degeneracy of the genetic code in two manners: having more than one tRNA (with a specific anti-codon) for a particular amino acid; and 'wobble' base-pairing, i.e. permitting non-standard base-pairing at the 3rd anti-codon position. Lineage: Bacteria; Pseudomonadati; Campylobacterota; Epsilonproteobacteria; Campylobacterales; Sulfurimonadaceae. RNAcentral also lists the same sequence under 25 other names. The record is from RNAcentral.
CGCGGAAUAGAGCAGUCCGGUAGCUCGUCGGGCUCAUAACCCGAAGGUCGUAGGUUCAAAUCCUGCUUCCGCAACCA